Molecule: ribosomal RNA, 244 nt
Filed under: uncultured bacterium
Lineage: Bacteria
Description: partial 16S ribosomal RNA
Rfam family: Bacterial small subunit ribosomal RNA
Source: RNAcentral
UGCACCUACGGGAGGCAGCAGUCGGGAAUAUUGCGCAAUGGAGGAAACUCUGACGCAGUGACGCCGCGUAUAGGAAGAAGGUUUUCGGAUUGUAAACUAUUGUCGUUAGGGAAGAAAUUGACAGUACCUAAGGAGGAAGCUCCGGCUAACUAUGUGCCAGCAGCCGCGUUAAUACAUAGGGAGCAAGCUUUAUCCGGAAUUAUUGGGUGUAAAGGGUGCGUAGACGGGAGAUUAAGUUAGUUGU